AGUCAUUAGUCUUUUAAUUGGAGGCUUGAAUGAAUGGUUGAACAAAAAAUAAUCUGUCUUAAUUUAAAUAUUUGAAUUUAAUUUUUAAGUAAAAAAGCUUAAAUUAAUUAAAGUGACGAUAAGACCCUAUAAAAUUUGAUAAUUUAAACUAUAAGAAUGUAUUAGUUGUUUAAAUUUCUUUUUUUUUAAUUUAUUUUAUUGGGGCGAUAUAAAUAAAAAUAAUAACUGUUUAAAUUUAAUAAUAAUGAUUAUUAAUUAAUUUAAAUGAUCCUUUAAUAGAGAUUAUAAGAUUAAGUUACUUU
Molecule: ribosomal RNA, 302 nt
Filed under: Stylocheiron maximum
Lineage: Eukaryota; Metazoa; Arthropoda; Malacostraca; Euphausiacea; Euphausiidae
Description: partial large subunit ribosomal RNA
Source: RNAcentral